Hyaena hyaena (striped hyena) is the source of this 255-nucleotide long non-coding RNA. RefSeq lists it as uncharacterized. Lineage: Eukaryota; Metazoa; Chordata; Mammalia; Carnivora; Hyaenidae. The record is from RefSeq and is a predicted model, not a curated record. The transcript has 3 exons.
CUGUGUUUCCCAUCAUUAGAAGAAAAUUCUAGAAGAAAAUCCAAACUCCUUACCAUGGCCUAUGGCCUUGUAUGAGCUAGCACCAGCAACUUGGUUACUGAGGACUAUCCCCACAGGGUGAUAAGCAAGAGAAAUGUGGUCCCUGCCUUCCUAGAGCCCACAAUCUGCUGGGGAAGAUGACAGUAAUCAAUGACCACUAGGAGUCCAUGGAUGGAGUAGCCAUCAACCACAAAGGAAAGAACAGGCCGGCUCUUC